This 361-nucleotide ribosomal RNA is filed under the name uncultured bacterium. Its description in RNAcentral is "bacterial SSU rRNA". It matches the Rfam family "Bacterial small subunit ribosomal RNA", at positions 28 to 384 of the family's 1533-position model. The record is from RNAcentral.
GAUGAACGCUAGCUACAGGCUUAACACAUGCAAGUCGAGGGGCAGCACGGUGUAGCAAUACACUGGUGGCGACCGGCGCACGGGUGCGUAACGCGUAUCCAACUUUCCCGUUACUCUCGGAUAGCCUUCCGAAAGGGACGAUUAAUACGAGAUGGUGUUCAGUUUCCGCAUGUUUACUGAACUAAAGAUUCAUCGGUAACGGAUAGGGAUGCGUGACAUUAGAUAGUUGGCGGGGUAACGCCCACAAGUCAACGAUGUCUAGGGGUUCUGAGAGGAACGGUCCCCCANACUGGAACUGAGACACGGUCCAGACUCCUACGGGAGCAGCAGUGAGGAAUAUUGGUCAAUGGGGCGCAGGCCU